Molecule: long non-coding RNA, 506 nt
Organism: Sinocyclocheilus anshuiensis
Lineage: Eukaryota; Metazoa; Chordata; Actinopteri; Cypriniformes; Cyprinidae
Exons: 5
Source: RefSeq, a predicted model, not a curated record
AGUUAACACAGAGCUAUAUUUUAAGAAAUCAUUCUGGGUAAUACUUUUUUUUUCUUUCUUUCUUUUUAUUUAUUUAUUUUUUACAACCUUCUUGUCUUUCUCCAACACACACAGAGAUGGAUGAAGAUGUUGAUUGCUGAGCAUUACCCCCUCCAAGCUACAGGUGCAGUCACCACCAUCAUCAUCCUCAGCAGCUGAACCGAUGCCUAAUUAUUAUUAAUAUUUUAAUCCUGCAGUACCUUCUGCUUCCCUCUCAGAGUGACACAAUUUCAUGCACCACCCAUGUGCCCCACAAUACCUGUGUCCAUUCCUAAAGACUUGAUGUUCCUUGUAAAAGAUACGACAAAAGUGGAGAGAACGGCUUCAACUACAGGAGACAGCAGCACUAUAGACACCUCUCGAGUGUGCAGGACACUUACUCUCGAGGAAUGUGGCAAAAGCAAAGAUCUCUCUUCUUCAGCAACCACUACAUAUAGUCUCCAACAGACAGCGGAGGCAUCACAUGG